Molecule: long non-coding RNA, 2373 nt
Organism: Chinchilla lanigera (long-tailed chinchilla)
Lineage: Eukaryota; Metazoa; Chordata; Mammalia; Rodentia; Chinchillidae
Exons: 7
Source: RefSeq, a predicted model, not a curated record
UUUGACAGUACAUUGGAUACUCUGCUAACCAGGCCCCAAACAGCCAAGUCCCAGACCAACUGGGAGUCGGAGCCCUGAUCUGUGGCCAUCACAUGCGGCUAAUUGCCUGGACUGUGUCUCCUCUCUGCAGAGGAUCUGCGCGCCUCAGCUCCCAUCGGCUGUGCGCUUGCCAAGCAUGACCAACCCUGAUGAUCCUGAAUGGGAUGCAGUGUGCAGAGCUCCCGGGAGAGGACGAGAUAAUAAUCCUGCUCUGGAACCACACAGAAGCCAUCAGCCCUGUGGCCUCCAGCUGUGACGUCAUCCCAGACCACCAAAUGUGAUCGAGCUCUACUUAACCUUCUAAUAAUAAAUUUUGUAUGCUGAAUUUGUAGAUUUAGAAGAUUGUCAAGAACCAACCUUUCAAUCGGAUGACUAACCGUGGUCACAAGAGCGACGUCUGUUUUUUAUUUGGCACAAGAAAAUGAGUAUUCUGACAUAUGGUUAUGUACUGGGUCUAAUUUCAUGUCUUCAGCAUGAAGACAUAGUCCACCAAAAGAACCAGAUUUUAUUAUGAUACAGAAGGAAAACGUCCUCUUAGCAACGAAGUAGAAAUGGAAUCAGAGGAGCAGACUGCGGAAAGGAAAAGGAAGAUGUGAGAAGAAUGUGACUGGAAGGCCGGAGGUGCGCAGGUGAGUCCUGCAGAGCCCAGGCAGCUGCGGAGAGGAGUGGGCGGAGGUCAGCGAUGCUCCACCUGCAGAACAUCCCAAUCGCACUCUGUACCAAUCACCCACACUCUCCACUGCGCUACAUGAAGGGAGUCCCUCUCCCUGACCCGGGAGCGUGGCUCAGUCCCCUACAUCACAGCCACCUCCCCCGCCAGAGUGAGAAGGACAUCCGCCAGCUCACAGCCUUCCAGGGGCUCCUCUGCCCCAGCCGGAGACUCAAGUCUGGAACAUCUACAGCAGGCUGGCUGCCAAGAGGGCUAGGGACUCUAGGGGCGGUUCCUCUUCGCUUCUUACCAAGGCUUACUGAGCUUCAGACAGAAAGGGGAAUGCCUGGAGAACUGCACUGAGAAAGCUGUGUGGUCUCAGCCACACCCACCCCAGCCACCUGGAAAGCAGGAGCCGCAAUCAUUAGCCACAUCUACUACAAGCUCAGGUGAUGAGUUUCAUCCCACCUCACUGUUCCGCCAUUCCACACAGAGAGGCACAUCACCUCAGGUGGUCAAGUGUCAGCCCUCCUCCGAUCAGACCAUAUACCUGGACCCCGAACCCGCCAGGCCCAUGGGCAGCACCAGUAUGCCGUGCUCACGAUGGCGUGCGAGACCUUUAUUUUCUCCGUAUCACACAUUCUGGACUGUUUCAUUUUAUUUUCAACUGUCUCACUGAAGGGGAAAAAAACUUCACUAAAUAUAUAGUGUGCCUGAGGGUCUCUCCAAGUUUAUUCCUAUGAGACAAAUGUAUCUCCUCAUGGGAACGAAAUCCAAGUCCAGUCCUGGCAGCUCAGUUAAGAAUUACCCUUUCAUCCAGUUUUCCCAAUUUGAGUCUUCAUUUCAGGGAAAAAUAAUAUUUACUUUUGAAUAAAACAGUAUUUGAAUAAAAACAGCAUUGAAAAAGUAUGUGCUAUGAACUGAACAGAACCCUCAGGUGCAGUUUUUAAAUUGAACUAAUUUUAAACUUAUAAAAACUAUUGUGUUAAGCACUGCAUCACCCAAUUUUCUAUGAGCUGGAGAUACAGACCAAUUUUGUCCAUGUUGGUCAAAUGAGCAUCGUGUUAUAUUAUCACACAGCAGGGUCUCUUUAGAGGCAACAAAGAAGAAGACUCAGGAGUCUACCUGGGGCAGAGGCUGGGCAGCACUUCAACACUUCCUAUGACUAUUCAUUGUGAUGCCUUGGUGGGGAGGUUGUGCUUAUUAUCUUUGGGAUGGAGGUCACAGAUACUGUAACAGGCCAGGCCCCCCCAAACAAAACUUAUCUGGUCCAAAACAUUAAGUGCUAAGGCCGAGAACUACCCCUUGCUCUAAAGAAUGAUUUUGUUAAGAAACUAAAGACUCCGAGGUGGAAGCCCUGCUAGUAGACUGUGGCUUCCCUUUGUUUCUCUCCUAAAGUUGACUGAAAGUAAACAGCAUUUAUGACUCAGACGACUGCUGAAAGCAGGGAUUGCGUGACUGGAGUGAGUGACAAAAACAAUCAUAAAUGGCUUUGCCUGUCUUGUUCCCUUUUCAGAGUCAGAGAAAGAAUGAAAUGACCAGUAAUGAUCAUUAAACUGCUGUCUUAUCCUAUCUCAACCAGAGCUAUUCAUUCCGGUUACUCACAGACCCUUGGGCUGGAACCAUAGUAAAUCAGGGUCACCCCCAGUGUGAAUGUAUGAGGCUAGUCCUUUUACUCUGUGCUA